GGGUAGGGUGGGCUCGCCGGGCCGCACGGACCGGUUCCGUUCAGGCAACCAGGAAGCCGGUGCGAUUCCGGCGCGGUCCCGCCACUGUGACCAGGCCACGGCCUGGGAGUCAGGAACUGCCCUGAACGGAUGGCCCCAG
Kibdelosporangium phytohabitans is the source of this 139-nucleotide non-coding RNA. Lineage: Bacteria; Bacillati; Actinomycetota; Actinomycetes; Pseudonocardiales; Pseudonocardiaceae. The record is from Rfam.